RNAcentral lists this long non-coding RNA (4155 nucleotides) under Marmota monax (woodchuck). The record is from RNAcentral. Lineage: Eukaryota; Metazoa; Chordata; Mammalia; Rodentia; Sciuridae.
CUUGGUGGCACAGAGGUCUUUAUUACUAAAAGGUUAUGUCAGCACAGGGCCCUGCCCCAAGUCCGCAGAAGCCCCCACCAGACAGGUUUCCCACCCACUCAGUCACUUUCUAUGCAACAGACCACCUGAAGAAAGGCAACAGUAGCCUGAGUUCACAUGCACUCCAUUCCCCCUAUCAACCCAGUGGUUUAGCUAAAAUCUAUCCCAGUCUUUUCACCCUCUUUGGCCUUUUCUGUCUUCUCUUUCCCAAAUACGAAGCUCCUUACAAGAAGCAAAUCUCACUGUCCACUCCACCAUGGGGGACGAUGUUCCAGCACAUGUAAUAAAAUUGGACAGCUCUUGAUCAGGCACACAGGAGAGAUGCAGAGAAGUCAAUUCAAUAGGCACCAAUUUCAUAUGACUUUACAGUAUUUCAAGCAUACAACCUGCUUGUGUAUGUCAAUGUUCCGUUAUAUUUUAAUUCAAGAAUAUUUCCAGGCUCCAGGCUGCAGAGACGCUAGCUCCUCCACUGGGAUCCAGGGCCAGUUCCAAGCUCCACUGACUUAUUCCAUCCACACAGGAUAGCACUUCACUCUGUACCGGGGAUUGAAGUGAAGGGAUCAGUGUUUCUUUAUCUCUGCUCCUGAGAAGUAAGGGCAGAGGGGUGGGCAGAGCAGUCUUGUGCAACAGACCCAUGGAGUCAAAGCCAAGGCCCAGAGGGAUAAAGAUGAGAGGAUGACUUCACUUUGGAGCAGAUGCCUGCAGGCUGGGAGGGUGUACAGCCUACCCUGGCAUGUUUCUGCCAGGGGCAAAAUGAGCUCAAGCAAGCGUGGCUUCUUAACAGCAGAAUUGAAACCAAGUGAUUCCUAGUAUUUGCUUCUUGAAUUCCCUAAAACUCCUCCCCAAAAGGGAUACUUCAGAACGGUUCACAGCACUUCUACUGAACAGUUCCUGGUGUCUUUUUUUAUGACUAUCAUACAUACAAAGCAAAACAAUAAAAAUCUUUAUUUACCAUGCGUAUGAGGACUUUUUAAAGCUUUUAUCUGGACAUUCUUGUAGAGAUCCUCAGUAUAUAUUCUCCCCAAGAAAAUUUUCUUCCAGAGAAAAUGUUUUUCAGGAUUUCAGCAGCUGAAGGGGUACUGUAAGUUACAUGAAUGUUUAAAAGUCAAAGACUUCCGUGUCAUGUAAUUAAUUUACUUAUGGAACUAAGGUUGGGUGAUUUACAUAGUACAGAUGACAACUAUGAGGAAAAAAGACAAAUAAGCCAUCAAUAAAAAAACCAUCAUUGCAAACUCAUCUAGAAUGUCUCCUGAGCACCUACUCACCAACUCACAAAACAAGGUUUUGGGCCUUUAUUUCCUGGCACGGAGGUCUUUCUUGAGCGUUAAUGUGCAUUUGCAUCACCUGGUCCUCUUCUUGCCAAAAAUUCUGAGUUUCUGACCUUCAGGACCAGGACACUUGUGAGGAACACUGGUCAGUUUUGUCAAUAUCCCUCAACAUUUCGCUUUGACAAGACUGCACGUCUGGCACCAGCACCAGAAGUGAUGUGUCCUCGGCCUACAUCAUGGGGGGUUGACAUCAAAGUCUCAUUACCAGUAAUGUUAACAUUGGUAGUUGAUUGUAUGCUUCAGGUGGCACCUGCUGAGUUUUUCCACUGUAUAGUUACUAUUUUAUUUAUAAAUACCAUGGUAGUACCGUGGUAAUACUUUGGGAUUAGGUAAAUAACCACAGGUUGGAAAAGGCAUGACAAUUAAACGCAUAAGUAGCGACCUAUAUUAGAUACUGAAACAAAAAAGGGCAUGGUAGUGCACGCCUGUAAUUCCAGCAACUUGUGAGGCUGAGGCAGGAGGAUUCAGAGUUCAAAGGCAGCCUCAGCAAUUUAGCCAGGCCCUAAGCAACUCAGCAACCCUAUCUCUAAAAAAUAUACAACAAAAAGGGAUGGGGAUAUGGCUCAGGGGAUAAGAGCCUCUGGGUUUAAUCCCCAGUAUCAAAAAAAAAAAAAAAAAAAGUAGAAAACUGAAUUGAAUAAGGUCUAUAUCUUACUUAAUAGCCCCAAUAAGAUAUUGUUUCUGGUUUCUAUAUGGCUAUUUCAUUAUGUAAGAUGUCAACAUUAGGGGAGCAAGGGAAGAGAGUGGGGAAAUAGACCAAAGUAGUUUUGUUAUUUUUCUGUAAUGACUAAAAAUUACUUGAAAUUAAAAUUUUACCAAGUUUAAAUUCUGAUUCCAUAGAUCUGGUGAUUUCAUAAACUCAAACAAUGCAAUGCUGAUCCAUGCUGUGGACCAUUCUGCUAGCAAGCCUCUGGCAGACAGAGCUAAAAUCAUCUCGCACAACUGGCAUGUGGGAGACUCACUGGACUGCACGGAGGCUAUGCUCCAAGUGUAGCCAUCACUGACUGCGGGUGUGCCUCAAACUGCAGAGUGCUGAGCCCCUAGCCCAGCUCGGCCCAGUAUACCUGGUCCUGGGAGAAGCCAAGAGUCUGAAAUCACAGUGUUUGCUGCACACAUCUGACUGACCUUCCCCAGCUGAGCCUGAAGCCCCUUCCAAGUCUGCAGAGCCAGAACCAUUCUCUCAAUUUGAGACAGCUACAGGAAGUAUGGACCUGACACCUCUCCCUUCUGCUGGUGGACAUAUCACCAAGACUUCAAGGAGGUAGGAGAGUGGGGUGAAGAAAAGUUUUGAAUUCCUGCUCAAAGUGACUGACCAACCUAUUCUUUUAAAAUGAUUUCUUUACUAAUAGAGAUAAUAAACCCACAAGAAAGAGAAUGUGGAGGCAAGCAAAAGGCUUCACUAAUUUCUGACAGAGGAUCCAACCCAGGCAACACAGGGAGUGGGGCUCUAGGCCCCACAGAAGCCCAUGAGCAGGCUGAAGACCUUGGCAGAGGGGGCCAGGCCUGCUUCCUAAAGUCAGCUUCUGCUAAGGCCCCCACAAAGACAGGUGGAGCAGACCCCAAGCAAAGAGGACUUCUAGAGAGAAGAUGCACAGCCCAAAGAAAAUGUGUAAAUCUGGAAUUCCAGGUCCCACUGUACCAAGCUCCCAGAGGAAACCCACCCAUUUUCAAAACCAGCCCCAUACAGACCCAGGGUUCUGUGCCAGUUUCCCCUUGCCUUAGACAAUAAUAAUGCAAAUAUUGGAGGAGGACCUACCAUGUAAGGCAAGAAGCCAACAUUUACCAAAAAAAAAAAAAAAAAAGUGCCAUUAAACAAGAAAUUUAAACACAAGAGAACCUAAAAGAAUCCUCACUUCUCAGCGUCUAGGAAAUAACACAUUUAUAAAACAGUUGUCUAUUAUAAUAAAGAACAGGACACAUACAUUUUUAGAAAUUAGGUUUGUAGAAAAAAAUAUUUAAAACAAAGCCAAGUACCAUGGCACACUCCUAUAAUCCUAGUGACUUGGGAGGCUGAGGCAGAAGAAUCACAAGUGCCAGGCCAGCCUGGGCAACUUUGCAGGGUCCUAAGCAACUUAACAAGACCCUGCCUCAAGACAAACUAAAAGGGCUGGGAUGUAGCUCACCGGUGAAGGGCCCCUGGGUUCAACCCCCAGCAGUGGGGAAAAUUUUUUAAACAGGAUUAUAAAACAAAUCAAAGUCCUUCCUAGAAAUGAAAGGUAAAGACAAGUUUCAAGAGGUGAAUGUAAUGCUUACCACCCACUAACAGGAAUUCUUCAAAGAGGAAAGAGCCAAAUGUUAAGGGAAAGCUGUCAAGUGACUCCAGAGAAGUGCCAGAGCUUACGGACAGCAGCAGGGUCAAAGAGCACUCGAGUGGGACUCCACGCACUUGUGCACACUAUGAAUUGUCAUAAAGCCUAAGACAAGAUUCUAAGGACGCCCAGGGAGGGAAGAGGCUCCCUCUCCAAGGGGAGGAAGAAUACCUGGAAGAGGCUCCCACUGAAGCGAUGCAAGGCACGGUCAAAGCCAGCCAGGUGCAGAUAAGGGAAACUACGGGACGGCACCUGGGCAGGGCUGAGGAGUGACUGAAGCGGACAGAGGUAGAGGGCCGGGGAGGCCGCACGGAGGAGCCACUGUGUAAGGAGCCAACGGGAGCAGAAAAUGCAGGGAGAAGAGGCGGCCGCUAGGAACAGCAGCGACAGGGCCGCCCAGGAAGCGGAGCGCUGCGGCCGCAGAACAAUGCCGCCGUGCGGGCGCACUCGGGGGCCGGGCCGCCCUCCGCGCACGCCGG